This 269-nucleotide ribosomal RNA is filed under the name uncultured bacterium. RNAcentral describes it as "partial 16S ribosomal RNA". It matches the Rfam family "Bacterial small subunit ribosomal RNA", at positions 793 to 1055 of the family's 1533-position model. The record is from RNAcentral.
GUCCACGCCGUAAACGAUAAUCACUAGAUGUUAGUCCGGCUUAGCUGGAUUAGUGUCGUAGCUAACGCGUUAAGUGAUUCGCCUGGGGAGUACGGUCGCAAGGCUAAACUUAAAGAAUUGACGGGGUCCGCACAAGCGGUGGAACAUGUGGUUUAAUUCGACACUACGCGAGAAACCUUACCUGGACUUGACAUGUACUCGACAGCCGUAGAAAUAUGGUCUUUUGGGUUUCGAUUCAAACGGGUACACAGGUGCUGCAUGGCUGUCGU